This 48-nucleotide non-coding RNA is filed under the name Schistosoma mattheei. The record is from RNAcentral. Lineage: Eukaryota; Metazoa; Platyhelminthes; Trematoda; Strigeidida; Schistosomatidae.
AUCCAGCUGAUGAGUCCCAUAUAGAAUGAAACACGCGUUAAACUGGAU